AUGUAUAUGCUGAUUCUUAAUCCCAUGAGGUCUUUAAAAAUAGGAUUGGGUACACAUCAGUUUUGGAUAGCAUUGUCUGAACAUAAGGACAUGAGUUUUGUGACCUACCCUUCAGGACCAAUUCCAGUUCCACCAAUUCAGGUUUCCUCUUUUUAUUUCCCUUUAUCAUUAGAUCAUGCCAUUCAUAUUGAUUGCACAGUAGUCUAUUAAGAUUCCUGUGCUGGUUCAGCAAUAAUUUUUCAUUAUUUCCUCUAUUACAGGAGGUAAUGUUAAUUGUGGAUUGAAUACCAGUCAGCUCUUGUAAAUUGACAAUCUUUUUCUUGCCUUGGAAAAUGAUGCAUGCAUUGAAUAAUAAAUAUUAAAUCCUCCAGACA
RNAcentral lists this long non-coding RNA (374 nucleotides) under Monodelphis domestica (gray short-tailed opossum). RNAcentral's name for it is "lncRNA (ENSMODG00000039508.1)". Lineage: Eukaryota; Metazoa; Chordata; Mammalia; Didelphimorphia; Didelphidae. The record is from RNAcentral.